GUAAUGUGCUGUUAUGCCCGUUGUAUUUUAAUUUUAAUUUUACAGUUAGCUUAAACUAACUUAAAAUAUAAUUUCGGUUUUAUUUUUAAAUUAUUCGAAUGUAAAAGCUUUGUAGCAGUUUGUUUGGGGAAAUUUCAGCGAAGAUUCCAACCACGCCCAGGAGGCUGCUUCGCUUGUGGUCGUUGAGGUUUUUUUUACCAGGACCUCUCGCCAGUAGCCCUAGUUAUACCUGGUUACUUAGCCCGCUAAGCAGCGAUCAACACCACCCAACGGUGCUAAGUGUUCGAAGCGCCGAGAUCGCGAAACACGCACAAUACACACGAUUAGGAACUGAAAUCUGGACUGACCGUCUCAUAAACUGAACUUACACCUCCCAACACACCAUCGUUAUACGUGGCUUACCGCGUUAAGAGGCGUACUGUGAGAAAUUUGACACAGGACACAAGAAAUUGGACACGGCACACACUUCUGACCUGACAUUGGCUGAUCCAAUAAAUUUAGAUAUAAAAAUUGUAAAAGGGGGGUGAGCUGUAGCACCUAACCAUUCGCAUCACAUUUGUUUGUAUGUGUUUGUUUGUUAGUGUGUUAUGUGUUUGUACAUGUUUCUUAGUGUGUUAAUGUAAAAUGAAGUGUGAAAC
Non-coding RNA from Ciona intestinalis (vase tunicate), 638 nucleotides. The record is from RefSeq and is a predicted model, not a curated record. NCBI's taxonomy places the organism in Eukaryota, Metazoa, Chordata, Ascidiacea, Phlebobranchia, Cionidae.